UACCAGUAUCCACUCAAGUAGGACCUAGAUUAUCUUCUUCUCAUGAAUCUUUGCUCCAAAAAUUAGAUCUGGAUCUAAUCUGAAAGAUCUUCAAAAGAUCUUCUGAAGCUGGAGCAGCAGCUUCUCGAUAAAUCUCUGCAGCCUUCUAAUCAAAGAGCCACCACGCCUUGGACAAGCUCCAGAUGGAUGCCCAACCUCUUGGAUGUGAAGAGGGGAGGGAGA
This 222-nucleotide long non-coding RNA is filed under the name Elaeis guineensis (African oil palm). RNAcentral describes it as "long non-coding RNA (EGUI_LNC066885)". The record is from RNAcentral. Lineage: Eukaryota; Viridiplantae; Streptophyta; Magnoliopsida; Arecales; Arecaceae.